GUCAGCCUGCUCCAUACAUGCCAGCUCAGAGCUGCCUUCCCCAGCAUCUUCACCUAAAGCAGCAAAUCUGUUGGUUUGUACAAACAGUGAACCAG
MicroRNA precursor from Xenopus tropicalis (tropical clawed frog), 95 nucleotides. The record is from Ensembl. NCBI's taxonomy places the organism in Eukaryota, Metazoa, Chordata, Amphibia, Anura, Pipidae.